Molecule: long non-coding RNA, 1286 nt
Organism: Olea europaea var. sylvestris
Lineage: Eukaryota; Viridiplantae; Streptophyta; Magnoliopsida; Lamiales; Oleaceae
Exons: 3
Source: RefSeq, a predicted model, not a curated record
UAAGGCAACUAUAUGGUCCUGACAUUCAAGAUUUAAUUGAUAUGUCACGAAUUCAAUCCUUAUUCCCCUAAUUCUGCAUGUAUUUUUGCCUUGUAAUGCAAUUGAAUUCUUAAUAAUAUCGGAUAUAAACACACACGCACAGACACACACACGAGCUACCUAUAGAGUAAGAUGGGACUGGACAAUUUUGUGCCUUUUGACACUGAAUUGAUUUCACAGGUUUAAUUCUUUGCUCCUCGAGGAGAUGUUAUGAUAUGGAAAAUAAAUCUUUAUUUGCUACAUUUGGUGCUUAUAUUUGUUUUUACCACAAUUUUAAAUGACAUCCAUGUGCUUGUAAUUUUUCUAAACCACCAUAUUGGCAUCACAUCUCCACAGGUUCAAUCUGUAGUUUCUGAUUAGAUAUAGAUAUGACCGUCCUUUGUUUCUUUAACUUCUUCUAUUAUGCAGUUCCUUUCCUUAAAAAUUGAGUGCCACCAACUAAUUCCCAUCACUUCACGCCUUUCAUUCUCUUCUAAAUUGUUUUAGAUUGAAAACCUCAAUUGAAAUGAUGCAAUAUGGUUAAGACUUUCUUUACGGAACCAAGUCCAUUAGUUGCUUCUUUAAUUGGUUUGAAUGGCCAUGUAAUUUUGAAUUGGUUUGGAGUGACUUGGUCAGCGUGGGACUGUAUUAAGGUUCUUAGUUAUCUAUAACGUAAUUUGAGAUGUCUUGCUCCAAUAUUAAGUGGAUAACAUAUGUAUGUUUAAUUCUCUACAUAUUCAUCAGCAUCAUUUUCUCACUAGACUUCCAGCUUAUUAUUGUAAUGCGAGAUCAAGAUUUAGCAUAAGGGUUGCACCAGCAUGUUGAAAUUCAAAUUUUCCUGUGCUUCUCUGUACUUGAUUUUUUCAGGAAAUUUGAAACACGUUAUUUUGUGAAAUACAACAGGUAAAAGAGAUUAGUCACUUCUACGCGCCACGGGUCGCUCGUUGGAAAGCAGAAGCCUUGGUAGCCCUUCAGGAGGCCGCAGAGGAUUAUAUAGUGCAAUUGUUUGAAGAGGCAAUGCUAUGUGCAAUUCAUGCUAAGCGCGUGACACUAAUGAAGAAGGAUUUUGAGCUGGCAAGGCGAAUUGGAGGGAAAGGACAACCUUGGUGAAAGAUUGCGCAUAAAACCAUGUCUAUCAGUAAAUAGUCAACGCCUAUUCAAUUUACAAUUGCAUUAAAUAUGUGUAUGGAAUUUUCAAAUAGUAAAAUAGUUAUUGAAGGACGGGUAUGCUCGCUAUUCCAGAACUAAGAACUUCCAAGAGGAGUCUC